Molecule: ribosomal RNA, 372 nt
Filed under: uncultured bacterium
Lineage: Bacteria
Description: bacterial SSU rRNA
Rfam family: Bacterial small subunit ribosomal RNA
Source: RNAcentral
GACGAACGCUGGCGGCGUGCCUAAUGCAUGCAAGUCGAACGCGAGCGAGCUUGCUCGGCUGCGUGGCGCACGGCUGAGGGAACACGUCGGGUAUCGAACCUCGGAGUGGGGGAUACCCCAGCGAAAGCCUGGGACAAUCCCGCAUACGGUCCGGCAACGGAGAAAGCCUUCGGGCGCUCGUGGGACGAGCCUGCGGCCCAUCAGGUAGUUGGUAGGGUAACGGCCUACCAAGCCGGUGACGGGUCCCUGGUCUGAGAGGACGACCAGGCAGACUGGGACUGAGACACGGCCCAGACUCCUACGGGAGGCAGCAGCAAGGAAUUUUCCCCAAUGACCGAAAGGCUGAGGGAGCAACGUCGCGUGCAGGACGAC